Molecule: long non-coding RNA, 338 nt
Organism: Mercenaria mercenaria
Lineage: Eukaryota; Metazoa; Mollusca; Bivalvia; Venerida; Veneridae
Exons: 3
Source: RefSeq, a predicted model, not a curated record
CAACGAAUAAUUGGUAUAUCCACUGAAGAAGAGCUUGUAAACGAGACACGCAUCAUAAAUAUCACAGUAACCACAACAAAUAACGCAAAGUAUUCGUUAAAAGAUACAUUCUACCUAAAGGUGAAAUUGGCUGCAUAUGGAGAUACCAGUACAUUUUGGUUACACACUUUUAGCCAGGUUUUAACGGUAUUUGUUCGAGAUGAUGAAAACUACUGGCAAAGAAAUUAUUGUUAUGCAAACAAUGAUCCGAGAAUGCGAACGUUUGAUGGACAGUACUAUAAUCAUAUGCUAACUGGAUUGUUUGCAUUAAUGAGGCAUAAGCUGUUGCCGGUUGAGAU